UACGAAGGGUGCAAACGUUGCUCGGAAUUAUUGGGCGUAAAGCGCACGUAGGCGGCAUUGCAAGUCGGAUGUGAAAUCCCUCGGCUCAACCGAGGAACUGCAUCCGAUACUGGCGGGCUUGAAUCCGGGAGAGGGAUGUGGAAUUCCAGGUGUAGCGGUGAAAUGCGUAGAUAUCUGGAGGAACACCGGUGGCGAAGGCGGCAUCCUGGACCGGUAUUGACGCUGAGGCGCGAAAGCUAGGGGAGCAAACGGG
Molecule: ribosomal RNA, 253 nt
Filed under: uncultured bacterium
Lineage: Bacteria
Description: partial 16S ribosomal RNA
Rfam family: Bacterial small subunit ribosomal RNA
Source: RNAcentral